UCUUUGCUCAACUUUUUCUUUUGAUCCACUUUCUAUAAUACAACACAUUUUCCUUUCUUAUUCUGAACAUUGUUUUCUUACAUAGGCUGCUAGGAUUCAAGCUCCUACAGAGCAGUGAAGCUUUCUGUUUUGGUUGCUGAACAGUAGGAAUCAUUUUAAACAAUCAGCAUUCUAUAGAUAGGACUUCCUGGCCAGCUGCAUUUAUUCCUGUCAUUUGAAUAACUCUGUCCUUCCACAAAACAUGGGGUUGAGGACCAGGACUCUAGAAUUUUGAGAAGAAAAUAAACUUCAGCUGAUCAGAGUGAUCUUCUAUACUUUAUCUAUUUGGAUUAGAUAAAAGGGCCCAAUGAGACUUGUUUAUGUCUUCCAAAUAAGCUGGCAAGAUUGUAAAUGUGCAUUACAAUCUAAAAGAAGGGUAAGGAAAAAAAAUUGCCAACAUCAAGGUGAAUCCAUUGUCUUUGCUUCAAAGACAACACUAAUAUUCCCCUUAUGGUUAAUUUGCAGAGAAAACAAACACAAAUCUUCAAAGGUCAUACUUCAAUGUUAAGAUG
This is a non-coding RNA of Oryctolagus cuniculus (rabbit), 551 nucleotides long. The record is from RefSeq and is a predicted model, not a curated record. NCBI's taxonomy places the organism in Eukaryota, Metazoa, Chordata, Mammalia, Lagomorpha, Leporidae.